Physeter macrocephalus (sperm whale) is the source of this 311-nucleotide long non-coding RNA. RefSeq lists it as uncharacterized. NCBI's taxonomy places the organism in Eukaryota, Metazoa, Chordata, Mammalia, Artiodactyla, Physeteridae. The transcript has 3 exons. The record is from RefSeq and is a predicted model, not a curated record.
CUGAUCUUCUCAUCCUACCAGAGGAGAGACCAAGGCACAGCAGGGAUGAAGGCAUGGCACAAGGGACCUUAAUGACUACAUAGACAGUAUUUGAUAUAAAAAGGUGUCAAAACCGACCUCUAGGCUCUGCGUCAACAUGCGAACUCGAUGCUCCAUAAAUGUCACCCCCAAAGAUAUGAGCAACAGUGAAUUGGAGUAGAUGCAUCCAAGGAAACUGUGCCUUGCAGACCUGUUUCCCAGCCUAACUUCUUGGAAAAAGUCCCUGCUUCCAAGAACAUCUUCUGGACAGAUGACCCCAUGGCUCAGAUACU